This 1044-nucleotide long non-coding RNA is filed under the name Coturnix japonica (Japanese quail). RNAcentral's name for it is "lncRNA (ENSCJPG00005018749.1)". Lineage: Eukaryota; Metazoa; Chordata; Aves; Galliformes; Phasianidae. The record is from RNAcentral.
AGCUACUGCACUGUUCUAUGCAUCAUUUUGCUUCCAGAAUGGUGCCACGAGUUUCAUGAACGACGGCUUAAACACAAAGCCCACGAGGCUGCCCAAGUCCUGUCCGCGCGUCACGAGUUCCACGCUCCGAGUUCCCGCAGCGCCGAGCAGCGCUCCGCCGUCACGGGCGGGCACAAGAAGGGCACACGGCCGGCUCCGAGCCCGGGCCAGUCCCGCAGCACCGCCCUCCUGAGGCCUCCGCACAGCACAGCACCGCACAGCACCGCACAGCACAGCACCGCACAGCACCGCACAGCACAGCACCGCACAGCACAGCACAGCACAGCACAGCACCGCACAGCACAGCACCGCACAGCACCGCACAGCACAGCACAGCACCGCACAGCACAGCACCGCACAGCACAGCACAGCACAGCACCGCACAGCACAGCACAGCACAGCACAGCACAGCACCAGCACACACCCACAGCACCGCACAGCACAGCACAGCACCGCACAGCACAGCACAGCACAGCACAGCACAGCACCGCACAGCACCGCACAGCACAGCACCGCACAGCAGCGCACAGCACAGCACAGCACAGCACCGCACAGCACAGCACCGCACAGCACAGCACAGCACCGCACAGCACAGCACAGCACCGCACAGCGCUCAGCAGCGCCGCAUACACAGCCGGACUAAGAGCAGCCCGUCCCGCAGCGGUUCAGAGGAUCCGAAGUUUCCGCGGCCGUUGCAUAACCGCGGCGGGGCGGUGCGGGGCGGUGCGGGGCGGUGCGGGGCGGUGCGGGGCGGGGCAGUCCCGUCCUGUCCCGUCCUGUCCUCGCCCCGGGGUGGCUCGGCUCGGCCCGGGGGAGGCGCCGCGCUGCCCGUGUGCUGACCCGCCCUUCCCUGCUCCGGGCCGGGCCGUGGUUGGAGGGCGCAGAGGCGGCCGGACGGCGCUGCCCCGGGGCCGCCUGCCGUUCCGCGCGGCGCGUCCCCAAGGCGGCGGUGCCGGCCCCGUCCCCGUCCGUGCCCUGCCGUCUCCUGCCCUCCGCCGGGGCUGA